RNAcentral lists this ribosomal RNA (253 nucleotides) under uncultured bacterium. RNAcentral describes it as "partial 16S ribosomal RNA". It matches the Rfam family "Bacterial small subunit ribosomal RNA", at positions 524 to 776 of the family's 1533-position model. The record is from RNAcentral.
UACGUAGGGGGCAAGCGUUGUCCGGAAUUAUUGGGCGUAAAGAGCGUGUAGGCGGUCCGGUAAGUCGGCUGUGAAAGUCCAGGGCUCAACCCUGGGAUGCCGGUGGAUACUGUCGGGCUCGAGUCCGGAAGAGGCGAGUGGAAUUCCUGGUGUAGCGGUGAAAUGCGCAGAUGUCAGGAGGAACACCAAUGGCGAAGGCAGCUCGCUGGGACGUGACUGACGCUGAGACGCGAAAGCGUGGGGAGCAAACAGG